UUCCUGCAAUUCAGAACCCAGACUAGAAAUCAGUUAGUCAUCCUUAACACCUCCUUCUCAUGCACUCUCUCACAUGUAGUCUAUUAGCAGUGGUGUUGACUUCACUUCCUAAAUAUUCAGGACUCCAUCAUUUCUCCCUGCCACCAUUCUACUCCUCGUGCGAGCUGACAUCUCACUUCUCUGCAUCUCUUCAGUACAAGUGAAAAGUGCUACUUCCCAGCUAUAAAAAGAAUGGUGACUGUCCAGUAGAAAGGUCAGCAGGCAAUGAGGCAUCAUGGUACCAUUCAAGAAGCACCAGCCUAGGAGACAGAGGACAAGGGACAAGGAAUUUUGCCUUUAUUGCUGCAAGAUAUUGGAAAUUUAUUCAAGGUUUUGGCUUUUUAUGAAUCUGAAUUUGUGGCACCAGAUCUAACUAGAGGAUUUAAUAAAGAGCAAGAGAGACAGCACAAGCAGGGAAGAGGGACAGAGGAAGAG
Herpailurus yagouaroundi (jaguarundi) is the source of this 474-nucleotide long non-coding RNA. RefSeq lists it as uncharacterized. Lineage: Eukaryota; Metazoa; Chordata; Mammalia; Carnivora; Felidae. The record is from RefSeq and is a predicted model, not a curated record. The transcript has 4 exons.